Molecule: ribosomal RNA, 170 nt
Filed under: Acinetobacter baumannii
Lineage: Bacteria; Pseudomonadati; Pseudomonadota; Gammaproteobacteria; Moraxellales; Moraxellaceae
Description: partial 23S ribosomal RNA
Rfam family: Bacterial large subunit ribosomal RNA (bases 1-152)
Source: RNAcentral
AUCUAAGCGGGAAGCCUACCUCAAGAUAAGAUUUCCCUAGGACUUUAUGUCCUCUAAAGAGCCGUUCGAGACUAGGACGUUGAUAGGUUGGAUGUGGAAGCAUAGUGAUAUGUGAAGCUGACCAAUACUAAUUGCUCGUGAGGCUUGACUAUACAACACCCAAGCAGUUG